Molecule: small nuclear RNA, 107 nt
Filed under: Choloepus hoffmanni (Hoffmann's two-fingered sloth)
Lineage: Eukaryota; Metazoa; Chordata; Mammalia; Pilosa; Megalonychidae
Source: RNAcentral
GCUUUGCCGCACAUAUACCCAUUACUAAAAUUAGAAUGAAACAGUGAAGAUCAGCAUGGUCCCUGCACAAGGAUGACAUGCAAAUUCAUGAAGCGUUCCAUAUUUUU